GUGUCCCAGAGGCAAUGCUUUGCCUUCCCUACUCUAUGACCAAACUGCUGAAUUUUUUUCUCCUUCCUCCUGCUGCCUAAACUAGGGAGAUAAUUUGGCACUAUCUUUGACCUAUGCUUUGAGGUCAGCCCACCCAACUGAGCUGUUUUCAUCUUAGGCCAGGGCACUUACACAUAGUGGAACAGUGACUUUUAACAGCUCAGCUCUGAAAAUCUCUGAAGAUGAACAAAGACCCAAACCAGCAGUCAUACUGUAAGAUAGUAUCUCACUUUUUCUUGGUAGUACAUUAUCUGCAUAGUCACAAUCUCUUUAGUUCUUUGUUUUCAUCACUGUAGCUACAUCUGCAAAAAUGAUUUCUUGAUAGCAAACAUUAUUUUAAUCUUAGAUGAAAUUUGAUUAUGCAGAUGAUUUUGUAUUUGGCAGCACUGAGUUUCCUGUAUCCAUUUAUGGUAGCGAGAGCAGACAUGAUGGCUUUAAUAGACACAUGAAAAAGGAUGAGACUAUAAAUCAAGAUCUGUAUUCCUAAACAGACAUCUACAGCAAUAUUUUCUCCCUUUUGCCCAUUUAAACAAAGUUCCCUGCAGUAUUUCACAAUCUUUGUGCCCUGGAGGAAUCCUUAAGAUAAUUUUCUGGUCACUAAAACUGCUUCACCAAUAAGCUGUAGAUACUAUAAUCCAAUAAUUGUCAACACUCUCAAAUAGGGAAUAUUUUUUUCUGUGGAUUUGUUUAUUGUGACCAUCUUUUCUGCUUUUGUGCAGUUCCCCUUCUCCACAAAGGAUAUCAAUUCUAAUGCACAUCAGUAGAGUAUUGAGAGUGAGAUUUCAGGGAUAACAAAUGCUGUCUAGCACAGGCUGAAUCCCUUUUCCCUGAUCUGCCUUUUGACUAACUUGGAUAAUCUCUGACUUGUUUGAAUUAAGCUUCAAUUUAUUUACCCUCGUCCAAUCCAUUACAGUUAAAGGACACUGGUUUAACAUAGACACAGCUUCCUUGGUGUUGAAUUAAAGAAGAGAGUUGGCGUUGUCAGCAUACUUUGACACUUAAUUCCAAAACAUAGGAUGGCAUCUUCCAGGGGUUUUGUGUAGAGUCACCAAAUUAAAUCAUUUUCAAAGUACUGGAUAAAUUGGCCAAAUAGUCUCACCCAGUCUGAAGGCAUAUAUUUCUCUUUACAAGUAGAAGAAAAAGGUCUACUAUAAGACUAACUUUUCUUUUAAAAAACAAUUUUCCUGGAAUUAGUUGUUCUAAGUUUUGGUUUUGUGGAGUUAUAGCUGGAACUAGUAGGUUCCCAGUGAAAAGCUUUGACUUGCAUUUUUGUUUGGUGAACAUUUACAAAGGCUUAGAAUACACUCCACAGCAGGACAAAAAUUGAUCACAACACCAGACUUUAGGGGGGGAAAGGAUUAGCCUUUAAAGGAGGAUUUUAGCCAUAGUUACUCUGAUGAAGUUACCCUGUGGUUUUAUUUCUUUAAUUUAAUUUGGGGGUAUCUGAUAUAUUGUGCAGGAUAAGAUCAAAGUAUUCUGUUUUACCAUCAAAGAAAGCUAGGUGUUUGCAUCUUGUUCAGACUCCUAAAGGGCAUCUUUUAAGCAUUUCCUUCCAUUGUAUGAGCUCCGUUUUUGCACUUCUCUGUACAGGCUUAUUGUAUGCAAGCUUCGUCAAAAGUAAAUCCUUUUGAUUUUAAAGCUAGCAUUGGAUUGCAGUUCUGCGGCUCACAGUUACUCAGAGGUAAGCCUUCCUGUGCUCAGCGCGGCUUAUUCCCAUGUCAGUGCACAGUCAAACUUCAGUCAAAGAGAUGAUUAUAUAAAGUGAGGAAGAGAAAGAGUUCUUGUCUGAACAGUCCCAGCUGAAUGGGGGCAGAUGAAAGCAGAUGGGUAAAAACGGGGCAGAGACACCUAUUAGAGCAAGGCACCAAACUUCUGCCCUUGUUGGUGCUUCUAAGAAUAUUUCAUGGAGAGAGAGCUAUGUAAAGAUUGGACACAAUAUGCUAUGAUAGUAACCCUUUUCUGCAAAUAAAAUAAUUUAAAAGCACAGUACAAAGUCAUCCUCAAUUCUGUGUCAUAUAUGAGACCAGAGCUCCUAAUGACUUGCAGCCCUGCCAGGUUUGUGGAACUACACAUUAACAAGCCCCAAAGAAUUUUGAAAGAAAAUCAAUCUGUGCUUUAUAGAUUAUGGCGAAGCCUUUAGCUGUAUAGACCAUAAAAAACUGGAUUUUUCUUAAAUAAAUAUGCCACAACAAUUGAUUUUUCUGGUGCACAGGAGACUAUUGUUAGAACAAAAUACAGAGAAUUGGAAUAAUACCCAAUUGGCAAGAAGGUCAGAUAGGGCUGCCUCUUAUCAAUUUUUCUCUUUAACAUGCAUGCUGAAAUCUCUCAAUCAUUAAUCAGAAUGGAGACUUAAGUCAAGAAAUCAGAAGGCUAGGACUUAAAUGGAAAGGUACAUCUUUGAACACAGGGUUGUUUGUGUCAUCAUAUUUCCAAUUUCUAUGUAUGAUUCUGAAAGCUGGAUAGUGAACUUGAUAGGAAGAGUAUCAACUCAUUUGAGAUGUGAUGCUGGAUAUACCAUGGGCUCCUAAAAGAUAUGGAUAUACCAUGGACUCCUAAAAGGCAAAUAAGUGGAUACUAGAGUAAAUCAACUUUGAACACUCCCCUCAAGUCAAGAUUUAACUGAACUAUGGUUUGGCCAUAUCAUGAGAAGACAUCAUACACUAGAAAAGACGAUGUUUAGUAAAAAAAGAGGGCAGUAGGAAAAGAAAAAGACCACAUUCCAGAGGGAUAAAUUCAGUCAAGGAAGCGAUUACUGAGUUUCCAAGAGCUGAACAGGGCAAUUGAUGAUAGGAUGAUAUGGAGGUCUCUCAAUCAUGGGGUCACCAUUAGUCAAAAUCAAAAGCAUUUAACAACGACAACAAUAUUAAAAAGCAGGGCUCUCGUUUAAUGGGAUUGUAUUAGUGCACACGUGUCUGCACACCCAUGCCAACUAUAACCAUCUCCCAGUCUCUGUUAUACUAAAGAGGUUUUAAGCUUUCAACAUCUUGAUUUUUAUGGGUCUUUCUUUCCUGGGAGAUCUUCUCCAAGCAUAACCAAGCAAGUUCUUUAUUUCAGCCACUUACUGGAAGAGGGAGGGAGCUAAUGUUGUGCAAGGUUGCUAAGGAACACUUUGCCUGCUUCAAGAAAAGGGAAUCCAGCAACUCCAAACAGCCCUAGAAAUGCUCUUAGUGUCAACUUUGUACUCAGAAGCAGGGAGUUUCUGAAGUUAAUUGUGUGUGUUCAGCAAAGAUAAUGGAAUUUUAAUCAAAAUAAAUAACAGUGGUACCAACAAGCAUGAGUAACAAGCCUUUGGAGCCAAAAAAAAGCAAUGGACAAGACUGCGGAGCAGCCUCCAAACAGGACCAAAGAGACUGGGAUGGCAAGAAAUCUGGAACAACUUGAAAACAGACUGACUAUUCAUGAUUUCAGGAAAAUGCAAGGUCUUUUUAAGUCCCCAGGAUCAAAGAAGAUCAAGGGAAUGAUGGCUAAAGAAGAGUUCAUGGAUAAAAUGUCCACCAAUAUUAGGCAAGGCACAAAGGAAGAAUAUGGUGAACUAUUUAGUAAGAUAGAUUUGAAUCGAGAUGGAGCCAUUGAUUGGGAGAAACUGACCUCCUUUUUGCUGCUUGAACUGUAUGAGAGAGAUGAGCGAACCAAGCUAUCUGUCAUCCCCCAGUGGAAAGACCUCCAGCUUCUCCCACUGAUCCAUAAAGAUGUGAUUCAAAAUGUGCUGUUUUUGAAAAGCCAUGGCAGCUAUUUGACUGUGAGCAGGAGUGGAUUGCUUGGUCUCUGGGGAGAGAGUUUAAAAUUACAGAGAACACUUCAGAUCACUACAGAAGUUGUCAAACUGAAAGACCUCUGGGUGACCUCUCUGGUAGCACUACCAAAUGUUAACAAGGUAGCAGUUGCAUUCACAAGCAAGGAGAUUUAUUUUGCUGAGCUGAAUUCCAAACAAGGAUUCUCACGUCACUAUAAGCUUCAAGGACUCAAAGGAACUGUGAUAUGUAUGGACUACUGGUACAACCACCAUGAUGGAAAUGAUGCCAUUCUGACCAUGGGGGAUGUCUGUGGACAGGUUCAAGCAAUUGCCUUCAACACAGCCCAGAUUUCAUUGUUUGAGCGACCUUCCAGUUCCUCUGAAGAUGAAAAUGUGAUGAUGACUAUUAAUUGGAAGGAACUUGCAUCUGGAUAUCACAAAUGUUGCUGUACAUUAAGGCACAACUUCCAUGACAAAGAAUGGGUCAGACAAGUUGCAUACAGCUCCUCCUUAGAUGUAUUUAUUUCUAUUUCAACCAGUAGCACAAACACUUUGGUGCUAGCUUGGAGAGAAAAAUUAAGUCACCGUCUUACAAUGACAACUUUCCACAUAACCCAAGGAGUGAAUGCUUUUGAUUUCCAUCCCAGACUCAACUUGAUAGCAACUGCAGGAAUCAACUGCCGGGUUUGCCUUUGGAACCCUUAUGUCACGUCGAAACCCACUGGAUUCCUGGAGGGUCACUCAGACUGUGUGAUAGCUGUUCAGUUCAUUCUGGAACGCAAACUGCUCUUCAGUUUUGCCAAAGAUAAGGUGUUAAGAAUCUGGGACAUUCAGUACCAACUUUGUAUCCAAAGGAUUGCUGGUUCCUUCCCCAAAAGCAUAGACUUCCAUUCCGUGCUUUACUUUGAUGAAUCCCAUGGACGGCUUUUUAUCUCAUUGAACAACCAGCUGACAUUGUUGGAAAUGGAGCAGGAAUCCGGCAACAGGAGAGUCAAGAGUCACAGGAAACCGGUGACUUGCAUUCUUUACAACUCUGUGUUUAAGCAGGUAAUCAGCUCAGAUACAGCAUCUACUGUUAUCUUCUGGCUGAUUGAUACUGGGCAGAAAAUCAAAGAGUUUACUAGUUGUCAUGGAAAUGCUGAGAUCAACACUAUGGCACUUGAUGGGACUGAAACCAGGUUGUUCACUGGAGGAAUGGAUGGAAUUGUAAAGGUUUGGGAUUUCAAUGGACACUGUCAUCAUAAACUCAACGUGGGAAGAGAUCGAACUGUUGAAAUCUCUCAGAUUUUAGUGCUAAGCUGGACUAUACUAGUCUUAGGAGGUGACAGGUCAAUUACUGUCUUCUGGCUGAACAACUUGACUCAGUUUUGUGUUCAGUCUUCAGAAUGGAAAGGAGGAAUUCAACAUCAGGAAGACAUCUUAUGUGCAGCUUUUCUACCUCCACAGACUCUAGCUACAGGGAGUUCUGGAGGUGAAAUUGUGGUGUGGAAUAAUAGUACGGAAAAUGUCCGCAGUAAGCUCUGCCUGAAUCCUGGAAGAUCUCUGAAGGACAGUUCAGGUUCUCAGAUACAGCAGAAUGUAGCUCCUACUGACAGGCUGUCUUCUAGAAGACAUACACUAUCUUCUUCUGACCACAACAGUUCUGACACAGAAAAUAGCAAGGCAAUAACUAGGCUCUGCUUCUUGGAGACCAGGAAUAUUUCAACAACAGGAGGAGCAAACCUAGUAUCUUGUGGAGGUGCUGGUUGUGUCAGAUUUUGGAAUACACAGAGGAGGAGCCUACUGGCAGAGUUUGAAGCUCAUGGUGAAGUGGGGGCCAUUAUCAUGACGGUUGAAAAACAAAACCAGUAUCUCAUCACUGGGGAUCUGGUGGGAUGGGUAAAGAUAUGGGACAUAGAGGACUACUGCCUUACUCUGGGAGAAAAUGUGAUAACACAGCCGCCCCCUCUGAUAAGAUCAUUUCAGGCUCAUGACGAUGGCAUCACUAGCCUGGGGACCUGUAUACAGAACAACAGCCUGUUCAUCCUGUCAUCAUCAACAGACCACAGUAUUGUUCUUAGUGACAUUUCUGGCAUUCCAUUUGGAAUAUUUGGGCAGGAAGGUCAUUGGAGACUUGGAAAUUAUGUCCUGUCCUUCCCUGGUGGAGAAAACAAGUCCCAUACUGAGGAGGAGAAUGACAUUGAAAAGGACAGCCUUGUGUCCUUUGUUGAAGGCGAUCCACCCCCUCAUCCCAUGGAACAAGCUGUACCUGUUACAGAGGAUGAAAAUGACUACACAGACAUUAUAAAUGUAUGGGACAACACCAUUCUAGGUAAAAGUUACAAAGAGAAAAAAGCACAGAAAGGAAGAAAAGGUAUCCCGUUGAAAAGAAUUGCUGGGAUAAAGCCAACAGUUGUAUUUAGGUCAUUAAAGAUUGAACCCCUGAAGGAGCCGAUGGAUAUAAAUGAGCUCGAUUUUCUUGUGCACCCUGACAAAUACAUUGGGGAAAAGUCAGCUGAAAAGCGCUCAGAAGAUUUAAAGCUGCCUACCCUUUCAGCAACUCUGAAAGCCGCUUUUGAUGAAAAGAACCUAUUCCCCAAAGAAAUUCUGGAUCGGGGAAAAAAACUGCGGCAGCUCUGUGAGGAAAUGUCUAACAAAGACGGGGUAACAAAUGAGAGAAAGCAAAGGAAGUUGAAAAGAAAAUGAAGUGGUCCUGACUUCAAAAGCAAGCCAACUCUUUCACCUUCAAGCUGAAACCCUGACCCUUUGCCAUGCAACUGUUUUCCUGGCAGACUGAUUCAGGUGGAGGAGAAGCCUUAUUGGCUAGACGACCCUUCAACCUCUGCUCAGAACAUGGACCACCACUGAGUACUUGCUAUGAAAUUAAAAUAGAUAUCGAACACAUGUCUUCAGAUUCAGGCAAUUAAUAUGAAGGCCAAGCCAGAUCUACUUUAUACUGAUUUUUGUGAACCAAACAUAACUCCAGUAAAGUGUGACUUACUGACAGUACACUUGCUUUAUAUGUCCAAGGUCCUAGGCAAUUCCUAGGAUCUCCAACAUCUGAAAGUACACAUGUUUGUCACCUUUGCUGUAGACAAUAUAGAGCUAGCUAAGCCAGUUACCUGCAUGGAUAAAUUGAAGCUAGUUCCUAACACAUGCAGCUCUGCCCUGCCAUUGUAUCAUGGAGGAGAUUCAGUGUGAUGGAUCAAUCAUAUAUUCUGGUGGCUAAAAGGCUAAAAGCUUCUGAAGCAGCUGGCAUCACUUCAUUAGCACCAAUAACAGCAAAAAUGUAAGUGUCUUUUGUGGUGAUGGAAGCAUUAGGCUUUCCAUAUCAUGGCAAUACACAACUCCCUUCUCACACCCCAUUUGUGCACUUGCAUGCAUGUAUGGAUGUAUGCAAGCAUGCAUGUAUGCUUCCUGUCCUACUGAACAUUAUAGAUCCCCUGAUCAAAUGAGCUUCCAAGAAUCUUCGGGUCUUCUGGGAAAUAAUUUGAGAGCCCCUCCAUUAAAUAUUAAGAAGAACCAUCAUUUAUGUCUUCCCAAUAACAACAACAACAACAACAACAACAACAACAACAACAACUUUAUUUAUAUCCCACUCGUUCUCCCCGUAGGGACUCAAAGUGGCUCACAACAAUAUAAAAUCACAGAAUACAUAAUAAAACAGAUAGAUAUUUCAAGUUAAAUAAACAACCAACAACAGCCAAUUACAAAAAUUAAUCAGAUCAUAGUAGACAAGAAAGGCAUCAUACAUAAAUAAGAUACAAAAAAAAUGUUUGUUUCUAUGCAUAAACAGCUAGUGUUAAUGUGAGAUGACAAGAGGAACGGGCAGUACUACUUUUUAGAGCUGCAGAAUCUAUGUUUGCAUUGCAGAUCAAGAGAAAUGCAAAUAAACAUUUUAAGCUCAGUCCUGAAAAUACCCUUCGAGAUGGUAAAUAACAGAGAUGGGAGAAACCUCCCAACUUAUAGAUCACACCUUUUCAAAUUAAAGAAUGGAUUGUCAAGGUGUCAAAAUAGAUAAGAAAACUUAAAAUAAUGUCUCAAGACAGAGUGUCUGCUGGAAAACACUGAAAUAAUGAAUACAUUUAGACCCUAGGGAAUAGCAUAUUAUAAGUGUCAGAAUGUUAGCAGGACUUUAAUACAAACAGAAUAUACAGACAAAAGAAUAAAAUGAAUGUUAUGAUUGACUAGCAAAUAAGGAAUUAUUCUUGAAAUAAAGACAUCUGGGAGUCCUAAAUAAAAUAUUAUAAGAUUGCAUAAGCUUGUCUUAACUUUACAACAGAUAAAGAGAAAAUAAUUUGAAUAGGUUUUCUCUUGCAUUAUGAUUGGAUUUAUCCCAGUUACUACAAAAACAACAGCAGUAUUUUAAAUCAUCAUUUAAAAAAAUAUUAUCAAACCACCUCUCUAGGUUUUCACAAAAGGAGCUGGAUGGGCAGGAGCAAUUCAGAAGCAUUUCAGGACAAAGGGAUGGGUAGUGGUUGAAAACUUUGAAACUUCAGAAUUGGAAAUCUGUACCUUAUUAAAUUGAGAGACUUAAGUGAGGUCUAAACCUUUCCAUAAAUAAGUCUGUUUUAACAUAUCUUGCAAAUUUCUCUAGCUAUCUCUCUUACUUUUAUUACAGAUGUGGGGAUGUUUACUAAGGAAUAGCUUUCAAAGCCAUUGUUUACCUGAUUUGGAUGAGCAUCACUUUCUAAUAGGAGGCAUAAGACUUAUUUUUUACCAGUAUACAUCACAGAUAGAAAACCUCUGUCUUUCAGGUGAAGCCUUUGUGCCACUCCAGAGCCUGUACGCUGUCACCUCAGAUGGAAAGGCAUUUACAUUUAAUCUUGCCAAUGUCCUCUACCUUAAAGAAGGAUUCGCAGUGAAAGAACAGUAUCUCCAUAGCAACGAAGAAUUCUUUUAUAUGGCUUGUAAAGCUGGUGAAUUUCCAAGACACUAAAGCUUCCAUGGAGUCCAUAAGUACUUGGGUAGAAAACAAAACAGAUGGUCUUUUUUUUUUUUGAAAAAAAAAGAUUCUUAUUUUCUGCAGCUUCCUCACUUUUGUUUGCUUCACAAGUGCUUGUUGAUUAGCCAUCCUUCUUUUCAUCAAAUCUCAAAUCUUGGAGCUAAAGGAACAUGCACAGGAAUAGUUAAAUGCAAAAUAAUGGAACCUUCAAUGAACUGAGAACAAAUGAAAAAUGCUCAGGUUAAGGAACUGAUGACAAUAUCUUCUCCACUGAAACUCCCCUGGUAUCAUUCGAUCCUAUUUUGUUAGACUUUUAGAUGUGAACUAAGGAAAUGAGCCCAAAAUCUCAGACUCACCCUAAAUAUGGCUGUCUUCAAAAGGACAGCAGCUUCAGGUCAGUAUCACAGGGCUUUUCAGUUUAAACCAACUGAAAAACGUGAGUUUGCCAGAAACUCAAGAUCAUCCCAAGGUUUUGGGGCAGUUUGGACAGUGAGAUCAGUUCUGAUUCAGAUCAGUCUGCUGUCCAGUCUGCAUACCAACUGAUGAUGCCUAUGCUGCCAACAUUGCCAUCCCUAGCCAGCCACAGAUUUCCAUGUGAGCUCCCGACCAUUACGGCUACCUGUGCUCAUUUCAGAAUGGAGUGCCUGCACAACCAAUAAGAAGAGGGGUGAUCUCCACUUCUUGUUGGUCAUGCGAGCAUAAUGUUCUGACAUCCACAGAGCUGCAUGAACAAUCAGCAAAAAGGGGGAUUGUUCUCCUUUCUUCUUGCUGGCUGUGUGUGUACCCCAUUCUGACAUCAGCAGAAGCUCCCACGAUGGUCAGGAGCUUGGAUUGAGGUCCAUGGCCAUCUAGGAGUGGCAGUGGAGGCGAUAUGGAGGAAGUGACAGGACAGUGGAGUAAAUGUGACAAAGGCCCUGGGUUUGGCAUGAACAUGCUAAAUCUGAGGCUACUCUGAGACAGAUUUACUGUGGGUUAAAUGCACCCCAAGUGUGGUGCUGUUACUUUAUUUGUAGUAACAUAGCCACUCUAUGUAAGCUAUCUUUAAAUAUCUAUGGAGAUUUCAAACGUAAUAAGGAAUAGGUUUCUGUGGUUCCAGCUAAUAAGCCCCAGGUCAAUGGAUUGGAAUUACAAGAAAGGAGAUAGUGGUUAAAUAUUACAAAGAAUUUCUUGAUGAUAAAAGUGUUUUACAAUGGAAUAGAUUACCUAGAAUUUGCCUUCAUGGGAGAGUUCAAACAGAAGUUAAAUUGCCACUUUUUAGGGGUACUUCCAGUUCUAUUAUUCUUUGUUUAAUUGAAUCACUCCAGUCCACUUUCUAAAAUGAACUACAGUAAAGUCUCACUUAUCCAACAUCCGCUUAUCCAACGUUCUGGAUUAUCCAACACAUUUUUGUAGUCAAUGUUUUCAAUACAUCAUGAUAUUUUGGUGCUAAAUUCUUAAAUGCAGUAAUUACUACAUAGCAUUACUGUGUAUUGAACUACUUUUUCUGUCAAAUGUGUUGUAUAACAUGAUGUUUUGGUGCUUAAUUUGUAAAAUCAUAACCAAAUUUGAUGUUUAAUAGGCUCUUCCUUAAUCCCUCCUUAUUAUCCAACAUAUUCGCUUAUCCAACAUUCUGCCGGCCUGUUUAUGUUGGAUAAGUGAGACUCUGCUGUAUAUGUAUGAGCCCCUCUCUGUCUCAGUAAGUCCCAUGAUGGUCCCAUGAAAUAGUGAGUCUUCCCCACACUGGGGUUAGAAUAAUAGAAUCAUAGAAUCAUAGAGUUGGAAGAGACCUCAUGGGCCAUUCAGUCCAACCCCCUGCCAAGAAGCAGGAAAAUCACACUCAAAGCACCCCUGACAGAUGGCCAUCCAGCCUCUGCUUAAAAGCCUCCAAAGAAGGACCCUCCACCACAUUCUGGGGCAGAGAGUUUCACUGCCAAACAGCUCUCACAGUGAGGAAGUUCUUCCUAAUGUUCAGGUGGAAUCUCCUUUCCUGUAGUUUGAAGCCAUUGUUCCACGUCCUAGUCUUCAAGGCAGCAGAAAAUAAGCGUGCUCCCUCCUCCCUAUGACUUCUUCUCACGUAUUUAUACAUGGCUAUCAUGUCUCCUCUCAGCCUUCUCUUCUGCAGGCUAAACAUGCCCAGCUCUUCAAGCAGCUCCUCAUAGGGCUUGUUAUCCAGAGCCUUAAUAAUUUUAGUUGCCCUCCUCUGGACACUUUUGAGCUUGUCAACAUUUCCCUUCAAUUGUGAUGCCCAGAAUUGGACACAGUAUUCCAGGUGUGGUCUGACCAAGGCAGAAUAGAGGGUAAGCAUGACUUCCCUAGAUCUAGACACUAUACUCCUAUUUAUGCAAGCCAAAAUCCCAUUGGCUUUUUUAGCUGCCGCAUCACAUUGUAGGCUCAUGUUUAACUUGUUGUCCACAAGGACUCCAAGAUCUUUUUCACACGUACUGCUGUUGAGCCAGGCAUCCCCCAUGCUGUAUCUUUGCAUUUCAUUUUUUUCUGCCUAAGUGGAGUAUCUUGCAUUUGUCCCUGUUGAACUUCAUUUUGUUAGUUUUGGCCCAUCUCUCUAAUCUGUUAAGAUCAUUUUGAAUUCUGCUCCUGUCUUCUGGAAUAUUGGCUAUCCCUCCCAAUUUGGUGUCAUCUGCAAACUUGAUGAUCAUGACUUCUAACUCUUUGUCCAAGUCAUUAAUAAAGAUGUUAAACAGAACCGGGCCCAGGACGGAACCCUGCACAACUCCACUCAUGACUUCUUUCCAAGAUGAAGAUGACACAUUGGUGAGCACCCUUUGGGUUCAUUUGCUUAGCCAAUUACAGAUCCACCAAACCGUAGUUUUGCCUAGCCCACAUUGGACUAGUUUCCUUGCCAGAAGGUCAUGGGGGACCUUUAGAGAUGAGAAAUGUGGCCUGCAGAAAGUGUUAGAAGCCAGUUUCAAUUUUAAAUUUCUCACAGUGCCACACUAUGACUUUGCUCUGUACUGCUCUGGAUAAAUUAACAUAGAAUAUGGCUUUUGUUUGCUACCUCCAAAAAUCCACAGGUGAGGAAGAUUCAGUAGCAGCAAGGCUCUGCAAGGAUAUUUGAGCUGCAGUAAUAAUGAAACUGAGAAAUAAUGCCCCUAAUCUCAGACUUGAAUCUGGAGAAGCCUGACCAAAUUUUCAAAAAUGUGUCAAUUUCACCUUACAUCCUAGACAUCCUGCAGGAGUGAAGUUUGGGCUUGUCAGUGUGUGCAACCACCAUCUGGCUAUUAUCUCAUCAUUUAAUGGACUACUCCCAAUUCUAUGCCCACAUGGCCUUUUGAAGAAAGAUAAAAGGUUCUUUUUAUAGCAUAGCAACAGUAGAAGUGGUAGGAAUUGCCAGUAUAGGUGGAAAGGAUGGACUUUUUCCCUUCUAGAAGGCUGUUUUCCACUUUACACGGGACAAGAUAAUGAGCAAUCGUUCAGUGACAGAACUGGUACUUGGACAGCAUUAGCCAAACUGAAAAUGGCAUUUUUGUUAUUGCCUGGAAGCACCUGAGGAAAGCUACACCUAUUGAUUUUGUGUCUCCUGCAUACGUGUUAAAGGCUCAAGGCUUCUGUCCAUUUAAACAAUUUUUGACAGUCCUUGAGGCUCUUUGCCAUCACUCCUUCUGCAAGCAACAUUGAAGAAACUUGUGUGUCGCCGCCACCUUUGCACUCCUCGAAUAAAAUUAGUUGCAGACAGGCAUAAAGAAGGCAAACAUUUAACUGGUCAAAAAUAAAGGUUAUAUUUCUUACA
Molecule: RNA transcript, 12420 nt
Organism: Anolis carolinensis (green anole)
Lineage: Eukaryota; Metazoa; Chordata; Lepidosauria; Squamata; Anolidae
Gene: wdr49
Gene name: WD repeat domain 49
Exons: 21
Source: RefSeq, a predicted model, not a curated record